Molecule: non-coding RNA, 156 nt
Organism: Otolemur garnettii (small-eared galago)
Lineage: Eukaryota; Metazoa; Chordata; Mammalia; Primates; Galagidae
Source: Rfam
AUUGCUUCUCAGCCUUUUGGCUAAGAUCAAGUAUAGUAUCUAUUCUUAACAGUUUAAAAAAUCAGUUUACUUUUUUUUUUUUUUUUUUAAGACAGGGUGUUCCUCUGUCACCUAGGCUAGAGUGCAGUGGCCUUAUCAUAGUUCACUGCAACCUCA